RNAcentral lists this ribosomal RNA (497 nucleotides) under uncultured bacterium. RNAcentral describes it as "partial 16S ribosomal RNA". It matches the Rfam family "Bacterial small subunit ribosomal RNA", at positions 28 to 507 of the family's 1533-position model. The record is from RNAcentral.
GAUGAACGCUGGCGGCGUGCCUAAUACAUGCAAGUCGAGCGAACAGAUGAGGAGCUUGCUCCUCUGACGUUAGCGGCGGACGGGUGAGUAACACGUGGAUAACCUACCUAUAAGACUGGGAUAACUUCGGGAAACCGGAGCUAAUACCGGAUAAUAUAUUGAACCGCAUGGUUCAAUAGUGAAAGACGGUUUUGCUGUCACUUAUAGAUGGAUCCGCGCCGCAUUAGCUAGUUGGUAAGGUAACGGCUUACCAAGGCGACGAUGCGUAGCCGACCUGAGAGGGUGAUCGGCCACACUGGAACUGAGACACGGUCCAGACUCCUACGGGAGGCAGCAGUAGGGAAUCUUCCGCAAUGGGCGAAAGCCUGACGGAGCAACGCCGCGUGAGUGAUGAAGGUCUUCGGAUCGUAAAACUCUGUUAUUAGGGAAGAACAAAUGUGUAAGUAACUAUGCACGUCUUGACGGUACCUAAUCAGAAAGCCACAGCUAACUACGUG